UAAUGAUGCAAGAUACUAACGUGAUUUGUUUUAUAUUUCUUGGCUCAAUAAACCUUUCACUCUUCUCAAUGCAUUGAGUAGUGAAAGGUCACAUUGGAAACCAUCUAUGCUACACUCUAUUUCUCACCUUUACUUCUUUUGAUUAUAUUCUGCUUCUUUUCAAUAAAAAUCUAAUCUUCUUUCAACCUCACUCUCUCAGUAUGUCUUAACUUCUAAACAAGUUCACCUUCAUCUCAGUAAAAAACUUUCUCUCUGAAAUCUUGACCUUCUAUGCUAACUAUCUCCAUUUGUCGUUGUCGAUGGUCCUAAAAGCUCUGCCACGAACCAUUUCUCCGGUGAGACUUCCUCAACCACGACGCCGAACUGCUCUAUGACGCCGUGAAGCACCUUUUAAUUCGUCAGAAACAUACGUUGUGUGCACCUAAAAUGCUUCAACAAACCUCGCCGGAAAAUAGUUCAGAUCUUAAAGAAAGCAACAAAGGAAGACAUCAAUUGAAGGAUUUUAAAGAGACAUGGAGUUGAUUUGACGAGAGAACAGUUAAUGGUUUUUCUUUAAAAAUUCUGCAACAUUGUAGCAUUGUAAUAUAUAACAAAUGAUUUAAUGAGAGAACAGUAAAUGUCAUUUGAACUGCUUCCUUCUA
Long non-coding RNA from Vicia villosa (hairy vetch), 641 nucleotides. RefSeq lists it as uncharacterized. NCBI's taxonomy places the organism in Eukaryota, Viridiplantae, Streptophyta, Magnoliopsida, Fabales, Fabaceae. The record is from RefSeq and is a predicted model, not a curated record. The transcript is spliced from 2 exons.